CCUACGGGUGGCAGCAGUGAGGAAUAUUGGUCAAUGGGCGAGAGCCUGAACCAGCCAAGUCGCGUGAAGGAUGACUGCCCUAUGGGUUGUAAACUUCUUUUAUAUGGGAAUAAAGUGUUCCACGUGUGGGAUUUUGUAUGUACCAUAUGAAUAAGGAUCGGCUAACUCCGUGCCAGCAGCCGCGGUAAUACGGAGGAUUCGAGCGUUAUCCGGGUUUAUUGGGUUUAAAGGGAGCGUAGGUGGGUAGGUAAGGCAGGUGUGAAAGUUUGCGGCGCAACCGUAAAAUUGCAGUUGAAACUGGUAGUCUUGAGUAUAGUAGAGGUGGGCGGAAUGCGUGGUGUAGCGGUGAAAUGCAUAGAUAUCACGAAGAACUCCGAUUGCGAAGGCAGCUUACUGGACUGCAACUGACACUGAGGCACGAAAGUGUGGGUAUCAAACAGGAUUAGAUACCCCAGUAGUC
Molecule: ribosomal RNA, 460 nt
Filed under: uncultured bacterium
Lineage: Bacteria
Description: partial 16S ribosomal RNA
Rfam family: Bacterial small subunit ribosomal RNA
Source: RNAcentral